Molecule: ribosomal RNA, 427 nt
Filed under: uncultured bacterium
Lineage: Bacteria
Description: bacterial SSU rRNA
Rfam family: Bacterial small subunit ribosomal RNA
Source: RNAcentral
UGGACGAAAGUCUGAUGGAGCAACGCCGCGUGAGUGAAGAAGGGUUUCGGCUCGUGAAACUCUGUUGUUAAAGAAGAACAUAUCUGAGAGUAACUGUUCAGGUAUUGACGGUAUUUAACCAGAAAGCCACGGCUAACUACGUGCCAGCAGCCGCGGUAAUACGUAGGUGGCAAGCGUUGUCCGGAUUUAUUGGGCGUAAAGCGAGCGCAGGCGGUUUUAAGUCUGAUGUGAAAGCCUUCGGCUCAACCGAAGAAGUGCAUCGGAAACUGGGAAACUUGAGUGCAGAAGAGGACAGUGGAACUCCAUGUGUAGCGGUGAAAUGCGUAGAUAUAUGGAAGAACACCAGUGGCGAAGGCGGCUGUCUGGUCUGUAACUGACGCUGAGGCUCGAAAGUAUGGGUAGCAAACAGGAUUAGAUACCCUGGUAG